UCUCCGUAGGUGAACCUGCGGAGGGAUCAUUACAGAGUUCAUGCCCUACCGGGUAGAUCUCCCACCCUAUGUUAUUAUUACUUUGUUGCUUUGGCGGGCCGUUAGGCUCCGGCCCGACUACCGGCCCCGGCUGGUAAGCGCGCGCCAGUGGAACCAAAACCCUGAAUAUUAGUGUCGUCUGAGUACUAUAUAAUAGUUAAAACUUUCAACAACGGAUCUCUUGGUUCUG
RNAcentral lists this unclassified non-coding RNA (229 nucleotides) under plant metagenome. Its description in RNAcentral is "partial contains small subunit ribosomal RNA, internal transcribed spacer 1, and 5.8S ribosomal RNA". The record is from RNAcentral.